Molecule: ribosomal RNA, 465 nt
Filed under: uncultured Enterococcus sp.
Lineage: Bacteria; Bacillati; Bacillota; Bacilli; Lactobacillales; Enterococcaceae
Description: bacterial SSU rRNA
Rfam family: Bacterial small subunit ribosomal RNA
Source: RNAcentral
CCUACGGGGGGCAGCAGUAGGGAAUCUUCGGCAAUGGACGAAAGUCUGACCGAGCAACGCCGCGUGAGUGAAGAAGGUUUUCGGAUCGUAAAACUCUGUUGUUAGAGAAGAACAAGGACGUUAGUAACUGAACGUCCCCUGACGGUAUCUAACCAGAAAGCCACGGCUAACUACGUGCCAGCAGCCGCGGUAAUACGUAGGUGGCAAGCGUUGUCCGGAUUUAUUGGGCGUAAAGCGAGCGCAGGCGGUUUCUUAAGUCUGAUGUGAAAGCCCCCGGCUCAACCGGGGAGGGUCAUUGGAAACUGGGAGACUUGAGUGCAGAAGAGGAGAGUGGAAUUCCAUGUGUAGCGGUGAAAUGCGUAGAUAUAUGGAGGAACACCAGUGGCGAAGGCGGCUCUCUGGUCUGUAACUGACGCUGAGGCUCGAAAGCGUGGGGAGCAAACAGGAUUAGAUACCCCAGUAGUC